This 1405-nucleotide ribosomal RNA is filed under the name metagenome. RNAcentral's name for it is "bacterial LSU rRNA". It matches the Rfam family "Bacterial large subunit ribosomal RNA", at positions 1513 to 2925 of the family's 2925-position model. The record is from RNAcentral.
AAAGCGUUUAGGUGGGAUUCUUAGGCAAAUCCGGGAAUCCAUUAACACUGAUGCGUGAUGACGAGGUACCACGGUACUGAAGUGUUCGAUGCCAUGCUUCCAAGAAAAGCCUCUAAGCUUCAGGUAUAAAUUAACCGUACCCCAAACCGACACAGGUGGGCUGGAUGAGAAUUCCAAGGCGCUUGAGAGAACUCGGAUGAAGGAACUAGGCAAAAUGGUACCGUAACUUCGGGAGAAGGUACGCCCGCGAAAGCGGGCCGCAGAGACCAGGCCGCUGCGACUGUUUAUCAAAAACACAGCACUCUGCAAACUCGAAAGAGGACGUAUAGGGUGUGACGCCUGCCCGGUGCCGGAAGGUUAAUUGAUGGGGUUAGCGCAAGCGAAGCUCUUGAUCGAAGCCCCGGUAAACAGCGGCCGUAACGAUAACGGUCCUAAGGUAGCGAAAUUCCUUGUCGGGUAAGUUCCGACCUGCACGAAUGGCGUAACGAUGGCGGCACUGUCUCCAUCCGAGACUCAGUGAAAUUGAAAUCGCUGUGAAGAUGCAGUGUACCCGCUGCUAGACGGAAAGACCCCGUGAACCUUUACUAUAGCUUUGUAUUGAACUUUGAACCUACUUGUGUAGGAUAGGUGGGAGACUAUGAAACCGGAACGCUAGUUCUGGUGGAGUCGUCCUUGAAAUACCACCCUGGUAUGUUCGGAGUUCUAACCCAGGCAUAACAAUGCCGGGGACAAUACAUGGUGGGUAGUUUGACUGGGGCGGUCUCCUCCUAAAGAGUAACGGAGGAGCGCGAAGGUGUGCUAAUCACGGUCGGAAAUCGUGAGGUUUGUGUAAAGGCAUAAGCACGCUUGACUGCGAGACAGACAAGUCGAGCAGGUACGAAAGUAGGUCUUAGUGAUCCGGUGGCUCUGAAUGGAAGGGCCAUCGCUCAACGGAUAAAAGGUACUCCGGGGAUAACAGGCUGAUUCCUCCCAAGAGUCCAUAUCGACGGGGGAGUUUGGCACCUCGAUGUCGGCUCAUCACAUCCUGGGGCUGAAGCAGGUCCCAAGGGUAUGGCUGUUCGCCAUUUAAAGUGGUACGCGAGCUGGGUCCAGAACGUCGUGAGACAGUUCGGUCCCUAUCUGCCGUGGGCGUUGGAGAUUUGAGGGAAGCUGACCUUAGUACGAGAGGACCGGGUUGGACGAACCUCUGGUGUUCCUGUUGUCACGCCAGUGGCAUUGCAGGGUAGCUAUGUUCGGACGGGAAACCGCUGAAAGCAUCUAAGCGGGAAGCCCCUCCCAAGAUGAGAUCUCCCUGACCCCUUGAGGGUCCUAAAGGGCCGUUGGAGACUACGACGUUGAUAGGCUGGGUGUGGAAGUGCAGUAAUGUAUGUAGCUAACAGUACUAAUUGCCCGUGAGGCUUGAUCC